Molecule: unclassified non-coding RNA, 407 nt
Filed under: Viguiera pinnatilobata
Lineage: Eukaryota; Viridiplantae; Streptophyta; Magnoliopsida; Asterales; Asteraceae
Description: partial external transcribed spacer
Source: RNAcentral
UUUGGUUUGUUACGGGUGGUUGGCUCUUUGCUUGYGCAACAACUGCCACCUGACUUACCUCUUCAGAUGUUUGCCUAGGCUUGUAUAGCCUAWGCAGAUUGUGGGUUUCCUGUGUUGCCUACCUACGCUAUGGAAUUGUCCUGAUUGAUCAAAGUUGCUUUCGUCUUGUGUCAUCUUGGURGCAUAAGAUGAACCUCGAAGCUGUCUCUUUGCACCGCAUYGUUAAURCUUGCGUUGAUGUUGUGGCCCAUUGAGCAUUGCUUGGUACCUUGGAUACGGAACCUGAUGUGGGCAUGGGUCUUUAGGGAUCCUUGUUCUGCCCUCGUUUAGCGUUCGCGCUUCUCUUAGAAUGACUGCCCAGCCUGUAUGGCAAGCCAUUGCAGAUGGGCAUCGUCAAAGAGGAAUGC